UAAUGCAUAAAAUGUGCUUUACAACUGGAUUACACAGCUUUACAGAGUUUACUGUUAACUGUUGUUUUAUGAUUACUAUUUUUCUUUCUUUCUUGAAUGUUGUAUUAAAAUAACAACAUGGUAUCAUUCAUUUAAUUUAGAAUAGUUGUGUGUUGUGAUAACAAACGCUUUGAAACUGCUUGGUGUAUACAUUAUUGCCGGAGAACGUUAUUUACUCCCAAAUGAUGCCUCUUGAUGAACAACCUGACAAGAUCAAAAACCUGUUGAUUGCAAGGGAGAUGAUGGAUCAACAUGAUUGUGCAAACAUGAUAUCUUUUUUUUUUAAAUGCUGCCUAGAUGUGAUUUUAAUAUGUGAUUUGAAUUCUUACAUAGAUUGUGUGCAUGAUGUCUAUCAUUGACUUGAGGAGAGAUCACAAGUCAAAGCGCCCCAAAAAAGGUACGGAAAGUACCAAACUAAAAUAGAACAGCUGUGAGGGGUUUGGCAGGACGCCAGAAUGCACAGCUGUGGAAAGUCCAGGUCAGCUAGAAGUGAAAGUAGCCACUGUGCCCUUUGAAGGAAAAAAAUAGCUUUGAACAGGAAACGUCCUUUGCAUAACCCGGACCAGCUGUAGGGUGACGUGACUGCAGUUGCCUCUUCAAAGCUAUAAAAACCGCAGUUCGGAGGGGCAAGGAUGGGAUGGCCAGGGCGAAGCCCUGUCAGUCCGGAUCCCCAAUUUCCGGUACCUGACGAGAAUAGGAUUAUGAAGAUGACUCCUUAUCAAGAAAUCCAAUAUUACAUUCAACUGGCACAACUCGAAUACAGCAGUGUGACAAUUGCAGCUUGAAGGUAUGGCUAACUAUCCACAGCAGGGGGAAAACGCAUUCACAUGGACGGAACACGCACACACGAAGAGGAACCGGACUUUGUGUAUCUCCACACUGUAGAAGAUUGUGUGACUGCAGGUGGUCUUUCAGUAAUAGGGUUUUACGGAGGAGUUUUAUUUCGUGGGUCAACACGUAUUAGUCCAUUCAAUUUGCAUACAUGCAUAAGAGAAACAUUUGAUUACAGUAUCAAAUAUUGUUGUGACUCCACCCCAGAUUGCAAUUCGAAAAGGUUUUCAACUUAACCCUGCCCCCUGCAAAUUCAUCAUGAUCCAGAAUACAUUGACGAUUUUACUGGAAUAUGAAUCGCGGACCUAUUUUUGUGGCAAUGUUUACAAUCAACAUAGGAAAACGCUUAGAUCUUUCUGAAACCUUGUAGAUGAUCACGAGGCUGGCUACGAGUCAGACAUCGCAUUCUAUCUGGUUACAUCUGCGUUCGCUCUUCUGGUGGGACACAACUGUGCAGGAGUUCACUGCUCCAGAGUUUGUGCAAAACUUUCAUGUUUCCAGGGAGUCAAACCUCUCCAUCUGUCAUCGUCAUGAUAACUCCGCCCCCCGCCCCUGACAUAGGUAGUACCAAAGUCUGGCCCAACAAAUAAUUGGGGUCAUAUUAAGCUCCAGUUUAAAGCAGCUAGAGACAAUUUCGGUGGUGAAAAAAGAAAGAACUGGUGCUAACCAGUGCACUGGCCCAGAACUAGCAUUAGCACAAGCGUGGUGGAAAAGGGCCGUGGGUGACAAUUAUAGGUUUAAAGGCUGCACUGAAGAAUAAAUGCUCUCUUCAUGGUUCUUCCUUCCUUUUAAGAAAUCGCAAAAGCAUUCACAGAUCCGCCUUUUGUUGUGAAGCAUGUGAAGAAACUUUCUUGUUGUAAGAUUUAAUCAUGGGACUUAUUUCUCACUCUAUUCAUAGGAUUUAGACAAAAUAAGUGUUGAAACGUUGCAGUGGGAUUGAAAUGUCAAAAGCAAUGCCUGAGUUCACCUCAUCUUGAUGUCUGAAUAGAAUGCUCACCAAAAGAGCAUCCCCAUUCAACAUUCCUCUGUCGUCACAAUCAAGCAGAGGGAAAAGUAAUUCUUUGAUGGUUUCUGUUAUGGUUAUUUCUUUGGUGCACACAGAGAACAUCUAUAACAGCAGUGGUUACAGAGGUACAAAGCUGAGGAAAGCAGGAUGGGAAAAGCAGAAUCAACCCUGUUUGCGGAGGCAGAUACAGUACAUGUCGAACGAAACACAUCAUGACGCACGUAAGACAGGUGUGGGGGAAAGCCACUCUCCAAAAAUGGGAAUUCCAAUUCGGGAGUUUUUUUAGGGGCUUGAAUUUAAUGCUGACAACAUUUUCA
Long non-coding RNA from Hippocampus comes (tiger tail seahorse), 2193 nucleotides. RefSeq lists it as uncharacterized. The transcript is spliced from 2 exons. The record is from RefSeq and is a predicted model, not a curated record. Lineage: Eukaryota; Metazoa; Chordata; Actinopteri; Syngnathiformes; Syngnathidae.